CUUUACCCUCUUCAUACAAGUCUUUCAGGGAAACCCUGAUUUAUGGCAGAGACAAACUCUUGUUCGAAGAUGUGAAGGGUCAUUUGUUGAGUAGAGACAAACUCGACAAUGAGUUUGGUUUGAAUAGCAAAGCAGAUAGGUAAGCUUCCGUUUUGGUAGCAUCAAAGAAACGAGACAAAAGGUGUCGCUAUUGUAAAAAGUUAGGUCACGUCAAAGCAGAUUGUUAUAAACUGCGAAAUAAAAAAGCUGCUGAGAGUAACGAGGAAGAUGUAGCUGGUGCUAAUUU
This 286-nucleotide long non-coding RNA is filed under the name Gossypium barbadense (sea-island cotton). Its description in RNAcentral is "long non-coding RNA (GBAR_LNC019704)". The record is from RNAcentral. Lineage: Eukaryota; Viridiplantae; Streptophyta; Magnoliopsida; Malvales; Malvaceae.